This 913-nucleotide ribosomal RNA is filed under the name uncultured archaeon. Its description in RNAcentral is "bacterial SSU rRNA". It matches the Rfam family "Archaeal small subunit ribosomal RNA", at positions 1 to 922 of the family's 1478-position model. The record is from RNAcentral.
UUCCGGUUGAUCCUGCCGGAGGCGACCGCUUUUGGAGUUCGAUUAAGCCAUGCGAGUAGAAUGAAUUAGAUCAUUGCGAACUGCUCAGUAACACGUGGAUAACCUGCCCUAUGCUCUGGGAUAACCUUGGGAAACUGAGAAUAAUACCGGAUAGAUCACAACGCCUGGAACGGUGUGUGGUUGAAAGGUCACGGCAUAGGAUGGGUCUGCGGCGUAUCAGGUCGUAGGGGGUGUAAUGGACCUCCUAGCCAUCGACGCGUACGGGUUGUGGGAGCAAUAGCCCGGAGAUGGAUUCUGAGACACGAAUCCAGACCCUACGGGGUGCAGCAGGCGCGAAAACUUCACACUGCAGGAAACUGUGAUGAGGGAACUCCAAGUGACUACACAUUUGUGUAGCUCUUUUCUUAACUAUUAAUCGGUUUGGGAAUAAGGGCUGGGAAAGACCGGUGCCAGCCGCCGCGGUAAUACCGGCGCCUCAAGUGGUAGUCGCUUUUAUUGGGCCUAAAACGUCCGUAGCCGGUCUGAUACAUUCGUGGGUAAAUCAACCAGCUCAACUGGUUGAAUUCUGCGAGGACGGUCAGACUUGGGACCGGGAGAGGUGUGGGGUACGCUCAGGGUAGGGGUAAAAUCCUGUCAUCCUGAGCGGACCACCUGUUGCGAAGGCGCCACACUAGAACGGAUCCGACGGUCAGGGACGAAGCCUAGGGGCACGAACCGGAUUAGAUACCCGGGUAGUCCUAGGUGUAAACGCUGUGGACUUGAUGUUGGGGGUGCUCCGAGCACUCUCAGUGUCGAAGCGAAGGUGAUAAGUCCACUGCCCGGGAAGUACGGUCGCAAGGCUGAAACUUAAAGGAAUUGGCGGGGGAGCACCGCAACCUGAGGAUUGUGCGGUUUAAUUGGAUUCAACGCCGGA